GAUGAACGCUGGCGGCGUGCUUAACACAUGCAAGUCGAACGGAAAGGCUCCUGCUUGCAGGGGUACUCGAGUGGCGAACGGGUGAGUAACACGUGGGUGAUCUGCCCUGCACUUCGGGAUAAGCCUGGGAAACUGGGUCUAAUACCGGAUAGGACGAUGGUUUGGAUGCCAUUGUGGAAAGUUUUUUCGGUGUGGGAUGAGCUCGCGGCCUAUCAGCUUGUUGGUGGGGUAAUGGCCUACCAAGGCGUCGACGGGUAGCCGGCCUGAGAGGGUGUACGGCCACAUUGGGACUGAGAUACGGCCCAGACUCCUACGGGAGGCAGCAGUGGGGAAUAUUGCACAAUGGGCGCAAGCCUGAUGCAGCGACGCCGCGUGGGGGAUGACGGCCUUCGGGUUGUAAACUCCUUUCGCUAGGGACGAAGCGUAAGUGACGGUACCUGGAGAAGAAGCACCGGCUAACUACGUG
This 466-nucleotide ribosomal RNA is filed under the name uncultured bacterium. Its description in RNAcentral is "partial 16S ribosomal RNA". It matches the Rfam family "Bacterial small subunit ribosomal RNA", at positions 28 to 507 of the family's 1533-position model. The record is from RNAcentral.